GCGCUGGUGGUGUAGCGGUAUCAUUGUACAAUCCCACGAUACACACCCGGGUUCAACUCCCGGCUCGCGCA
This 71-nucleotide transfer RNA is filed under the name Enterobius vermicularis (human pinworm). It matches the Rfam family "tRNA". From Rfam's summary of the family: Transfer RNA (tRNA) molecules are approximately 80 nucleotides in length. The record is from Rfam by way of RNAcentral. Lineage: Eukaryota; Metazoa; Nematoda; Chromadorea; Rhabditida; Oxyuridae.